GACGAACGCUGGCGGCGUGCUUAACACAUGCAAGUCGAACGGAAAGGCCCUGCUUGCAGGGUGCUCGAGUGGCGAACGGGUGAGUAACACGUGGGUGAUCUGCCCCUUACUUUGGGAUAAGCCUGGGAAACUGGGUCUAAUACUGGAUAGGACCAUGCUGUAGGUGGUGUGGUGGAAAGAUUUUUUCGGUAAGGGAUGAGCUCGCGGCCUAUCAGCUUGUUGGUGGGGUAAUGGCCUACCAAGGCGUCGACGGGUAGCCGGCCUGGGAGGGUGGACGGCCACAUUGGGACUGAGAUACGGCCCAGACUCCUACGGGAGGCAGCAGUGGGGAAUAUUGCACAAUGGGCGCAAGCCUGAUGCAGCGACGCCGCGUGGGGGAUGACGGCCUUCGGGUUGUAAACUCCUUUCAGCCAUGACGAAGCCUCUUUUGGGGUGACGGUAGUGGUAGAAGAAGCACCGGCUAACUACGUG
Molecule: ribosomal RNA, 471 nt
Filed under: uncultured bacterium
Lineage: Bacteria
Description: partial 16S ribosomal RNA
Rfam family: Bacterial small subunit ribosomal RNA
Source: RNAcentral